GUGAAUCAUCGAAUCUUUGAACGCAAAUUGCACUCCCUGGUAUUCCGGGGAGUAUGCCUGUUUGAGGGUCGUUAGAAUAAAAAAUCGAUGCGUCGCUCUUUUUUUUACGGGUGGUCGCGUCGGAAUUGAGCCGUCUUUUAAAUGUUAAUUCAUGAAAAUGUGGCUUGAUAUUCAUCUAUACGGUUCGAUUGAUGUGUUUUUUAGUUGAAUUUUGUUUGUGCGAGA
RNAcentral lists this unclassified non-coding RNA (225 nucleotides) under Glomeraceae sp. Its description in RNAcentral is "partial contains 5.8S ribosomal RNA and internal transcribed spacer 2". The stretch from base 1 to 71 matches the Rfam family "5.8S ribosomal RNA", at positions 84 to 154 of the family's 154-position model. Lineage: Eukaryota; Fungi; Glomeromycota; Glomeromycetes; Glomerales; Glomeraceae. The record is from RNAcentral.